Molecule: ribosomal RNA, 502 nt
Filed under: uncultured bacterium
Lineage: Bacteria
Description: bacterial SSU rRNA
Rfam family: Bacterial small subunit ribosomal RNA
Source: RNAcentral
AUUGAACGCUGGCGGCAUGCUUUACACAUGCAAGUCGAACGGUAACAGGGAGCUUGCUCCGCUGACGAGUGGCGAACGGGUGAGUAAUGCAUCGGAACGUGCCGUGUAAUGGGGGAUAACGUAGCGAAAGUUACGCUAAUACCGCAUACGCCCUGAGGGGGAAAGCGGGGGAUCGUAAGACCUCGCGUUAUACGAGCGGCCGAUGUCGGAUUAGCUAGUUGGUGGGGUAAAGGCCUACCAAGGCGACGAUCCGUAGCGGGUCUGAGAGGAUGAUCCGCCACACUGGGACUGAGACACGGCCCAGACUCCUACGGGAGGCAGCAGUGGGGAAUUUUGGACAAUGGGCGCAAGCCUGAUCCAGCCAUGCCGCGUGAGUGAAGAAGGCCUCGGGUUGUAAGACUCUUUCAGACGGAAAGAAAACUUACCGGGUUAAUACCCUGGAGGAUGACGGUACCGUAAGAAGAAGACACCGGCUAACUACGUAGCCAGCAGCCGCGGUAAU